This 400-nucleotide ribosomal RNA is filed under the name uncultured bacterium. Its description in RNAcentral is "bacterial SSU rRNA". It matches the Rfam family "Bacterial small subunit ribosomal RNA", at positions 355 to 747 of the family's 1533-position model. The record is from RNAcentral.
UGGGGAAUUUUGGACAAUGGGGGAAACCCUGAUCCAGCCAUGCCGCGUGCGGGAAGAAGGCCUUCGGGUUGUAAACCGCUUUUGGCAGGAACGAAACGGCGCGCGCUAAUAACGCGCGCUAAUGACGGUACCUGCAGAAUAAGCACCGGCUAACUACGUGCCAGCAGCCGCGGUAAUACGUAGGGUGCAAGCGUUAAUCGGAAUUACUGGGCGUAAAGCGUACGCAGGCGGCUAUGCAAGACAGGUGUGAAAUCCCCGGGCCCAACCUGGGAACUGCAUUUGUGACUGCAUAGCUAGAGUCCGUAAGAGGGGGGUGGAAUUCCACGUGUAGCAGUGAAAUGCGUAGAGAUGUGGAGGAACACCGAUGGCGAAGGCAGCCCCCUGGGAUGAGACUGACGCU